UCCCCAAGCGGCUGGGCCACACCUCCGGUCAUGGCCCCUAUGGCACCAGACUGACUGGGGAAGAUGCAAUACUCCUUCGUCCCCGGGACAGAGUGGACUCAGACACAGAGUGAGAGUUCAAGCGCAAGAGGCUUGGUGGGGCGACCAGCGUGGUUUGGCUGCGCUAAGAGGCUGCGAUGUGUCGCUCAGGGGAACACCCCACCCCACCCCCACAGGAGGCGGUAGCCCUGUCCCUGUCAUCCCCCAGGUCCGGAGGAAGGAGACCUUGCUGAAGCAGACUUUCAGGAGGGUUCUGUGAAAAUAAACGAGGCCGCCGAUUGGAAUAGAGUCUGAUGCCGAGGGAGGCGGCAGAUGACCUUGGCCUCUCCUUUCCCAAAAGACUUUGUAAAUGUUCUCUUCAGGGAAGCCAUACUUCUCGGAGAUCUGGAAGAGAGCAGUAGGGGGGUUGUUAUCUGCUGCCCAAACUGGAUCCUUUCCAGCCUUUCAUACUCUGACUUAUAUUUCCUGGUUAUAAAAGUAAUAUACAUCCCUACUGUGGAAAAAUGCGAAGAAGAAGUUUACAAUUGUCCAUAAUCCUGUUUCUCAGAGACGAACAUGUGUGUGCACUCUCUCCC
Molecule: long non-coding RNA, 614 nt
Organism: Mustela erminea (ermine)
Lineage: Eukaryota; Metazoa; Chordata; Mammalia; Carnivora; Mustelidae
Exons: 4
Source: RefSeq, a predicted model, not a curated record